RNAcentral lists this ribosomal RNA (252 nucleotides) under uncultured bacterium. RNAcentral describes it as "partial 16S ribosomal RNA". It matches the Rfam family "Bacterial small subunit ribosomal RNA", at positions 524 to 776 of the family's 1533-position model. The record is from RNAcentral.
UACGUAGGUGGCAAGCGUUGUCCGGAGUUACUGGGCGUAAAGGGCGUUCAGGCGGGUGAUUAAGUUCGCUAUGAAAGCGCCGGGCUAAACCCGGCGAGGCUGGCGGAUACUGAUCAUCUGGAGUGAGUCAGAGGAAGGUAGAAUUCCGCGUGUAGUGGUGAAAUGCGUAGAGAUGCGGAGGAAUACCAGUGGCGAAGGCGGCCUCUGGGGCUCAACUGACGCUAAAGCGCGAAAGCAUGGGGAGCGAACGGG